GACGAACGCUGGCGGCGUGCCUAACACAUGCAAGUCGAACGAAGCUUGACGAAUGAUUUCUUCGGAAUGAAAUCUGAUAUGACUGAGUGGCGGACGGGUGAGUAACGCGUGAGCAACCUGCCCUUCGGAACGGGGUAGUGUCUGGAAACGGACAGUAAUACCGUAUAACGUAUUUUUACCGCAUGAUAGAAAUACCAAAACUGAGGUGCCGAAGGAUGGGCUCGCGUCUGAUUAGAUAGUUGGUGGGGUAACGGCCUACCAAGUCGACGAUCAGUAGCCGGACUGAGAGGUUGAACGGCCACAUUGGGACUGAGACACGGCCCAGACUCCUACGGGAGGCAGCAGUGGGGAAUAUUGCACAAUGGGGGAAACCCUGAUGCAGCAACGCCGCGUGAAGGAAGACGGUUUUCGGAUUGUAAACUUCUGUUCUUAGUGAAGAAUAAUGACGGU
RNAcentral lists this ribosomal RNA (450 nucleotides) under uncultured bacterium. Its description in RNAcentral is "bacterial SSU rRNA". It matches the Rfam family "Bacterial small subunit ribosomal RNA", at positions 28 to 476 of the family's 1533-position model. The record is from RNAcentral.